Suncus etruscus (white-toothed pygmy shrew) is the source of this 104-nucleotide small nuclear RNA. Lineage: Eukaryota; Metazoa; Chordata; Mammalia; Eulipotyphla; Soricidae. The record is from RefSeq and is a predicted model, not a curated record.
GCGCUUGCUUCGACAGCACAUAUACUAAAAUUGAAAUGAUACAGAGAUUAGCAUGUCCCCUGCUCAAGGAUACUAGAUCCAAUUUUGAAUUAACCCAAAAUAUC